This is a long non-coding RNA of Oncorhynchus gorbuscha (pink salmon), 271 nucleotides long. RefSeq lists it as uncharacterized. The record is from RefSeq and is a predicted model, not a curated record. The transcript is spliced from 3 exons. NCBI's taxonomy places the organism in Eukaryota, Metazoa, Chordata, Actinopteri, Salmoniformes, Salmonidae.
UGGCACUACAGGCUGAGGGGCGGUUUGAGAAGGCUGCAGUGGAGUACCAGGAACAGCUGUGUGCCGUGACGGGGAUGGACUGUUCCAUUAAGGGCUUCGACCGCUCACUCCUCAAACUGGGCGGAGCCAACAGCUCUAACACAGCCAGCCCCAAACACAACGGCAACGGUGAUGGCAGGAAGACGGUUCUCCUCAAGUCCAACGAGUGUUCCUCCGAGGUGCUCAACCUCCUUGCCAACAAGGCAUGCCAGUGCUAUGUGGCCCUCGGCGG